This 253-nucleotide ribosomal RNA is filed under the name uncultured bacterium. RNAcentral's name for it is "partial 16S ribosomal RNA". It matches the Rfam family "Bacterial small subunit ribosomal RNA", at positions 524 to 776 of the family's 1533-position model. The record is from RNAcentral.
UACGAAGGGGGCUAGCGUUGCUCGGAAUUACUGGGCGUAAAGGGCGCGUAGGCGGCCUUCUAAGUCAGACGUGAAAUCCCCCGGCUUAACCUGGGAACUGCGUCUGAUACUGGGAGGCUUGAGUAUGGGAGAGGGAUGUAGAAUUCCAGGUGUAGCGGUGAAAUGCGUAGAUAUCUGGAGGAAUACCGGUGGCGAAGGCGGCAUCCUGGACCAUAACUGACGCUGAGGCGCGAAAGCUAGGGGAGCAAACGGG